Molecule: long non-coding RNA, 310 nt
Filed under: Homo sapiens (human)
Lineage: Eukaryota; Metazoa; Chordata; Mammalia; Primates; Hominidae
Description: HSALNT0236672
Source: RNAcentral
CUCCCGGGUCUGUCCCGGCCGUGAAGUAGCGUUGGAUGCGUGUGCCUAUCCACCUCCGACCCUUAAGCCAGAGACUCAGCCACCAGAGAAACGGCGGAGAACAAUUGAGGAUUUCAACAAAUUCUGCAGUUUUGUUUUGGCAUAUGCUGGUUACAUUCCCCCUAGCAAAGAGGCCCCCGACAGUGCUACCUUGCUUGAGAAGAUGAAGCUCAAGGACUCUCUCUUUGAUCUGGAUGGGCCCAAAGUGGCAUCUCCUUUGUCCCCCACAUCCCUGACACAUACCUCCCGGCCCCCUGCUGCUCUUACCCCC